RNAcentral lists this ribosomal RNA (505 nucleotides) under uncultured bacterium. Its description in RNAcentral is "bacterial SSU rRNA". It matches the Rfam family "Bacterial small subunit ribosomal RNA", at positions 25 to 518 of the family's 1533-position model. The record is from RNAcentral.
CAGGAUGAACGCUAGCGACAGGCUAACACAUGCAAGUCGAGGGGCAGCACGGGAGUAGCAAUACAACGUGGUGGCGACCGGCGCACGGGUGAGUAACGCGUAUGCAACCUACCUAUCAGAGGGGAAUAACCCGGCGAAAGUCGGACUAAUACCGCAUAAAACAGGGGCACCGCAUGGUGAUAUUUGUUAAAGAGAUUCGCUGAUAGAUGGGCAUGCGUUCCAUUAGGUAGUUGGUGAGGUAACGGCUCACCAAGCCGACGAUGGAUAGGGGAACUGAGAGGUUGGUCCCCCACACUGGUACUGAGACACGGACCAGACUCCUACGGGAGGCAGCAGUGAGGAAUAUUGGUCAAUGGGCGGGAGCCUGAGCCAGCCAAGUCGCGUGAAGGGAAAAGAAGGAUCUAUGGUUCGUAAACUUCUUUUGCAGGGGAAUAAAGUGCAGGACGUGUCCUGUUUCGUAUGUACCCUGAGAAUAAGGAUCGGCUAACUCCGUGCCAGCAGCAGC